CUCUUUAAAUGGCAAAUCAGUUGCAUCAGUUUUGUGCCGCGGGCUUGAGAUAAGGAACUCAAGAUGGGCGGCAAGACGGCUCUAUGCUAACAUCUACUGGCGAAAUGGACGAAAGACAACUGUAAUGUUGUCCUUCAAGACAAAGCAAUGGUCAAAUACUAAUGAAUUCUCAAGUUGCUGGGAUUGCUGUAUUAUUGGAAGCAAGACUCUCAGUGGCCAACCUUCCUGAGGAUAUCUGUGGACCCCAGCAGACUUUGCAUAUUUUACCUGAGGAGUGUGUGCUGAAUUCCUCGUCUAAACGGGGUGAAGAGGGAGUCCAAGUCUAGUGCUGAAUGAUACAACCAUCCUCUCAGUCGGCAUCCCGCUGCACGCCAAGGUUCCUGACCUUAUCAUCCACCUCACUGGUUCCGGAAGAAUCCUUUCCGCCCCCUGCGGCCAGCCAAGCCCCCCGGCCAAUGGAGAGAGGCCAGCAGCAGACCAUCGACUAACAGUCAAGCGCCACAAGCAGUUAGGAGUGAUCCCAAUUGGCUCAAAC
This is a long non-coding RNA of Nerophis lumbriciformis (worm pipefish), 535 nucleotides long. RefSeq lists it as uncharacterized. Lineage: Eukaryota; Metazoa; Chordata; Actinopteri; Syngnathiformes; Syngnathidae. The record is from RefSeq and is a predicted model, not a curated record.